GAAGGCUUUUGCUGUUCCGCCCCCUGGUGACCUGGACGUGCCUUUUGACACAGGCCCUAUUGGCCUUGAAAAGGAGAUGGAUAUGCUUUUCUUCGAUCCAGAAGGAACAGGAUAUGUAAGGCCCGAAGGCCGAGUUGCGGUGGCAACUUAAAGCAAAAGAUAUUGUUAAAAAGGAAUGGAAAAUGGAGACUGUUAAGUCAUGGAACCUAAAGGAUUGUUACCUUUCCUGAUUGUAUGUAUGUAUAGGCAUACUCGGGUUUAGUAUGUAAAGCAAUCUUCUAUAUAUUUAGGAUGUUUGAUGUUCAUGUGUGCGUGUUGGUGCAGUGUAGACUCCCCGCACACCCAGCGCUGUUUACUUGCCUUUUAUAGCUUUUAUAAUUUUUAUAAAUAUUACAAAAUUCAGAUUGAGUUGAGACUUCAUUUAUAACAACAGUAUAAAUACAAAGUAAAGCUAGUCAGUAGUUCUGAUUUGUUCUGUCCAUAUGACAAGACCUCUCCUAAAUUGCCAAGGAAUUGAGUCUGGUGAAUUCAGGAUUUUCGUGUUUAUAGACUUGUGCAUUUUAUAUGGUAUCAAAAUGUAUUUACUUUGCUUAUUUUUCCUCUUACCUUACGACAGAAUCUAUCUCUGGUGUCUUUAUCAUCCUUACUGAAAGACCUGUGUGGAGAAGACAUCUGUCGAAGAAUUUCUUUCUUGCUCAAGGGAAGCUGAAGAGACUAGCUGUGUAACACAGAUCAGGCUGGGCUGGCAUGAACCUCUCAUCUUCCUUGCUGUUACGUUGUUAAGCAGAUACUCUUUCUACAUUAAUAGCUUUCACUCACUAUUAAUAUGGGAAGAGCCACCACCUAAAGGUGCUUCUUUAGUGCACAGCAGCACAAUGUGUACACCAAUACAGUAUUCAAAUACCAAUUUACCUCCCAGUGACAGGAUUUGGAACAAAGCCCAAGUUCAGCAUUACUUAUCGCCUGCAUGAUACAGAAACAAGAAUUGCUUAUGCAAAACAGAAGAAAUAACAGUAUCGCAGUCCUAGGUAUGGGCAAAGACGUCUGAAUUCCUUUGGUUUUCACUGCUAAUUUCAAGGGUAAACUGACAGUGUACUCAGCAUGAAUUUCUGGUGAAUAAAAUAGGAAUUG
Molecule: non-coding RNA, 1131 nt
Organism: Anas platyrhynchos (mallard)
Lineage: Eukaryota; Metazoa; Chordata; Aves; Anseriformes; Anatidae
Source: RefSeq, a predicted model, not a curated record